RNAcentral lists this ribosomal RNA (251 nucleotides) under uncultured soil bacterium. Its description in RNAcentral is "partial 16S ribosomal RNA". It matches the Rfam family "Bacterial small subunit ribosomal RNA", at positions 26 to 280 of the family's 1533-position model. The record is from RNAcentral.
AGAUUGAACGCUGGCGGCAUGCCUUACACAUGCAAGUCGAACGGCAGCACGGGAGCAAUCCUGGUGGCGAGUGGCGAACGGGUGAGUAAUAUAUCGGAACGUGCCCAGUCGUGGGGGAUAACGCAGCGAAAGCUGUGCUAAUACCGCAUACGAUCUAUGGAUGAAAGCGGGGGAUCGCAAGACCUCGCGCGAUUGGAGCGGCCGAUAUCAGAUUAGCUAGUUGGUGGGGUAAAGCCUACCAAGGCGACGAU